CUAUCUCAGUUCGGAUUGGAGGCUGAAACCCGCCUCCAUGAAGUUGGAUUCGCUAGUAAUCGCGCAUCAGCCAUGGCGCGGUGAAUACGUUCCCGGGCCUUGUACACACCGCCCGUCAAGCCAUGGGAGCUAGGGGUGCCUGAAGUUCGUGACCGCAAGGAUCGACCUAGGGCAAAACCGGUGACUGGGGCUAAGUCGUAACAAGGUAAC
RNAcentral lists this ribosomal RNA (210 nucleotides) under uncultured bacterium. RNAcentral describes it as "partial 16S ribosomal RNA". It matches the Rfam family "Bacterial small subunit ribosomal RNA", at positions 1283 to 1500 of the family's 1533-position model. The record is from RNAcentral.